This is a long non-coding RNA of Solea solea (common sole), 1621 nucleotides long. RefSeq lists it as uncharacterized. The transcript has 3 exons. NCBI's taxonomy places the organism in Eukaryota, Metazoa, Chordata, Actinopteri, Pleuronectiformes, Soleidae. The record is from RefSeq and is a predicted model, not a curated record.
UACACUGUUGAAUGAAGAUGGACAAGGAAACACAUAAGAUAGAAGAACUAAAUCGUGCCUUUGACGCUUCCGGUCACGCUGACUCACGCUCUCGCGGACUUUAUGCUAACGCGCUAGCAUUUAAACUAGCGCACUUUCUCCAGAGUUUAUACGCAAACGCGUGGAUUAUUUAGUCCCGAAGGAGAGUGUCAGGACCUGAGAGUAACUGGACACCUGGAGGCGAACAGAAACAGGGGUUCUGAGAUGACGACAUGACGCCAGCGAUGAAAAAGAACCUUCUAUCAACCUUCUGUCUUCUUAUGGGGAGAAUGUUCUGUGGUCCGACAGGGCGACAGGGGUCACAUCCUCUACAGAGACCCUCUGCCCGUUGACUUUUCCCAACACCUCAACACCUGCUCUAUCUCUCUACAUCAAGGGGAAGCCAAAGUUAUUACCACUGUGUUUUGGUGUCAGACAGAGUCAAUUACACCUCUGAUUGAGAGAGAGCAAGAGAAAAGAGUGAGAACACACAUGACCUGGAACCAUAGACUGUAGGUGGACACGGUCAUUGUCUUCCAGAUGCAGAACAAGCUCAAGGUUUGCAGUUUGAUCAGCAACUUAAAGGUUUUUGAAUCUGCAAAUUCACAGACGUCACCUGAAACCUAUUGGACAAUACUAGAAUUGUCCAUCUUAUGAUGUCCACAUGUGAUGGGUUUCGUUGUCUUUCUCCCUCUAAAUGGAAACAUCACUUUUUCAACAUAGUCUCUGCUGCGGUCUUUCAUCGGUGUUGCAGCACUUUGAUGCUCUUGUUAUAGAAGAGCUCAUACUGAUAGUCAAACAGAUAUUUCCACUGCAUGCACUGCCUUUGUGUCUCUGGCUCAAAGUGGUGGACCCCUACACUCAUCCUGGGUCAGGAAACGUUCAAGAAAACCAGCUGGAUCUGCUUCAAAAUGUGCCAAGUUCCUCUUUGACAUGACCAGCCUGGUGUGCUUUUGAUCAGGGGUCAAAAGCUGUGGCACCCACUCAGCGGAAACCUUCGACAUGCCAAGUUUUAGAGUUCUCAACGGGGGGGGGCCAGCCUGACAAACCUGUUCAGCCUGAACCUGCGUCCGGUUCAGGCUUAAAGACCCGCGGGCUGAGUCGGGUCUUAAUUUUCAGGCCUGUUGAGAACUCGGUCAAAUGUCUGUUAUCCAUCACUGUGUGGUGGUUGACGUCUGGACCUUUGGUCAGCCUCAGGGCUACCCACUAUUGCACAGUUGACAAAACUGUGCAUCAUCAACUUGGGCAACUUGAGCAUCAUCAAGGAUGUACUCGGUGGCCAACCCCUUUUUUUCUGCAGAUGUUUUGUCCCAUUAUGGGGCCAAAUUUUGGCCAUGUUCACAAAAUGUCCUCAAUUAUCUAUCAAAAUGUAGGUUUAUCGAGAAAGAAAACAAUGCAAUUAGUAUCACGAAAGGUUGAAUUUAGUGCAGGCCACGUUUCAUUGCUAUGGCAUUACUCCUUCAUCAGCCUUUGAACUCUUCACUCCGCCCUCGUACACACGUGUCAUCAUGUCCUGUUGAAGAAAACCUGAAACUAGUGACUGAGACCAUGAACACCUCAGGAAAACGUUUAGUGACAUUUUAAAUCAAGUGAGAAGCAGAAC